Molecule: ribosomal RNA, 469 nt
Filed under: uncultured Anaerolineaceae bacterium
Lineage: Bacteria; Bacillati; Chloroflexota; Anaerolineae; Anaerolineales; Anaerolineaceae
Description: bacterial SSU rRNA
Rfam family: Bacterial small subunit ribosomal RNA
Source: RNAcentral
CUACAAAUGAAUUGACGGGCCCCGCACAAGCAGCGGAGCGUGUGGUUUAAUUCGAUGCUACACGAAGAACCUUACCAGGGUUUGACAUACAAGUAGUAGGGAAAGGAAACUGGACCGACCCUUCGGGGAGCUUGUACAGGUGCUGCAUGGCUGUCGUCAGCUCGUGUCGUGAGAUGUUCGGUUAAGUCCGCUAACGAGCGCAACCCUCGCUGUGUGUUACAAGUGUCACACGGAACUGCCGGUCAUAAACCGGAGGAAGGUGGGGAUGACGUCAAGUCAGCAUGGCCUUUAUAUCCAGGGCUACACACACGCUACAAUGGUCUGUACAAUGGGUAGCCAAGCCGCGAGGCGGAGCCAAUCCUGAAAGCAGGCCUCAGUUCAGAUUGCAGUCUGCAACUCGACUGCAUGAAGCCGGAGUUGCUAGUAACCGCAGGUCAGCAAUACUGCGGUGAAUACGUUCCCGGGUCUU